This 1950-nucleotide ribosomal RNA is filed under the name Escherichia coli. RNAcentral describes it as "bacterial LSU rRNA". It matches the Rfam family "Bacterial large subunit ribosomal RNA", at positions 1 to 1977 of the family's 2925-position model. The record is from RNAcentral. Lineage: Bacteria; Pseudomonadati; Pseudomonadota; Gammaproteobacteria; Enterobacterales; Enterobacteriaceae.
UUAAGCGACUAAGCGUACACGGUGGAUGCCCUGGCAGUCAGAGGCGAUGAAGGACGUGCUAAUCUGCGAUAAGCGUCGGUAAGGUGAUAUGAACCGUUAUAACCGGCGAUUUCCGAAUGGGGAAACCCAGUGUGAUUCGUCACACUAUCAUUAACUGAAUCCAUAGGUUAAUGAGGCGAACCGGGGGAACUGAAACAUCUAAGUACCCCGAGGAAAAGAAAUCAACCGAGAUUCCCCCAGUAGCGGCGAGCGAACGGGGAGGAGCCCAGAGCCUGAAUCAGUGUGUGUGUUAGUGGAAGCGUCUGGAAAGGCGCGCGAUACAGGGUGACAGCCCCGUACACAAAAAUGCACAUACUGUGAGCUCGAUGAGUAGGGCGGGACACGUGGUAUCCUGUCUGAAUAUGGGGGGACCAUCCUCCAAGGCUAAAUACUCCUGACUGACCGAUAGUGAACCAGUACCGUGAGGGAAAGGCGAAAAGAACCCCGGCGAGGGGAGUGAAAAAGAACCUGAAACCGUGUACGUACAAGCAGUGGGAGCACGCUUCGGCGUGUGACUGCGUACCUUUUGUAUAAUGGGUCAGCGACUUAUAUUCUGUAGCAAGGUUAACCGAAUAGGGGAGCCGAAGGGAAACCGAGUCUUAACUGGGCGUUAAGUUGCAGGGUAUAGACCCGAAACCCGGUGAUCUAGCCAUGGGCAGGUUGAAGGUUGGGUAACACUAACUGGAGGACCGAACCGACUAAUGUUGAAAAAUUAGCGGAUGACUUGUGGCUGGGGGUGAAAGGCCAAUCAAACCGGGAGAUAGCUGGUUCUCCCCGAAAGCUAUUUAGGUAGCGCCUCGUGAAUUCAUCUCCGGGGGUAGAGCACUGUUUCGGCAAGGGGGUCAUCCCGACUUACCAACCCGAUGCAAACUGCGAAUACCGGAGAAUGUUAUCACGGGAGACACACGGCGGGUGCUAACGUCCGUCGUGAAGAGGGAAACAACCCAGACCGCCAGCUAAGGUCCCAAAGUCAUGGUUAAGUGGGAAACGAUGUGGGAAGGCCCAGACAGCCAGGAUGUUGGCUUAGAAGCAGCCAUCAUUUAAAGAAAGCGUAAUAGCUCACUGGUCGAGUCGGCCUGCGCGGAAGAUGUAACGGGGCUAAACCAUGCACCGAAGCUGCGGCAGCGACACUAUGUGUUGUUGGGUAGGGGAGCGUUCUGUAAGCCUGUGAAGGUGUACUGUGAGGUAUGCUGGAGGUAUCAGAAGUGCGAAUGCUGACAUAAGUAACGAUAAAGCGGGUGAAAAGCCCGCUCGCCGGAAGACCAAGGGUUCCUGUCCAACGUUAAUCGGGGCAGGGUGAGUCGACCCCUAAGGCGAGGCCGAAAGGCGUAGUCGAUGGGAAACAGGUUAAUAUUCCUGUACUUGGUGUUACUGCGAAGGGGGGACGGAGAAGGCUAUGUUGGCCGGGCGACGGUUGUCCCGGUUUAAGCGUGUAGGCUGAUUUUCCAGGCAAAUCCGGAAAAUCAAGGCUGAGGCGUGAUGACGAGGCACUACGGUGCUGAAGCAACAAAUGCCCUGCUUCCAGGAAAAGCCUCUAAGCAUCAGGUAACAUCAAAUCGUACCCCAAACCGACACAGGUGGUCAGGUAGAGAAUACCAAGGCGCUUGAGAGAACUCGGGUGAAGGAACUAGGCAAAAUGGUGCCGUAACUUCGGGAGAAGGCACGCUGAUAUGUAGGUGAAGCGACUUGCUCGUGGAGCUGAAAUCAGUCGAAGAUACCAGCUGGCUGCAACUGUUUAUUAAAAACACAGCACUGUGCAAACACGAAAGUGGACGUAUACGGUGUGACGCCUGCCCGGUGCCGGAAGGUUAAUUGAUGGGGUUAGCGGUAACGCGAAGCUCUUGAUCGAAGCCCCGGUAAACGGCGGCCGUAACUAUAACGGUCCUAAGGUAGCGAAAUUCCUUGUCGGGU